Molecule: long non-coding RNA, 264 nt
Organism: Zophobas morio
Lineage: Eukaryota; Metazoa; Arthropoda; Insecta; Coleoptera; Tenebrionidae
Exons: 4
Source: RefSeq, a predicted model, not a curated record
UGCUUUUCUUCUAACUCUUCUUGCAUUUGCAAUUGUCUUUAAAGCGGAAGGGGCCCCUACCUAUAACUCUUUUAAUGAGAAUGCGACGAAGGGCGCCUUAGACCUAAAGCUUUCCGUGGAGCAAGGAGUGGAAAAGGACUCUACCAAUUUAAAGCCUGUAAUUCUGGAUGUUGCUGAGAGAGAGAGACUAAUGAACCUUACCAAACAGGUUAGCGUAAUUCCGGGUGAUGCUGAGAGAGAAGAAUUUUCAAAUUCCACUUCUCC